RNAcentral lists this ribosomal RNA (253 nucleotides) under uncultured bacterium. RNAcentral's name for it is "partial 16S ribosomal RNA". It matches the Rfam family "Bacterial small subunit ribosomal RNA", at positions 524 to 776 of the family's 1533-position model. The record is from RNAcentral.
UACGGGGGGAGCAAGCGUUGUUCGGAUUUACUGGGCGUAAAGGGCGCGUAGGCGGCUUGGUAAGUCGGGGGUGAAAGUCAGCGGCUCAACCGCUGGACUGCCUUCGAGACUGCCUGGCUUGAGCAUGGUAGAGGCUGGCGGAAUUCCCGGUGUAGCGGUGGAAUGCGUAGAGAUCGGGAAGAACAUCGGUGGCGAAGGCGGCCAGCUGGGCCAUUGCUGACGCUGAUGCGCGACAGCGUGGGGAGCAAACAGG